AUUGCUCUGUAUCAGCAGUAAUUGGUAGCCUCUACAUAUGGAGGCGUAGGUGCCACCUUUACCCCUAAUGUGCAUAAUGGACUGGAUAUUGGCUGCUGUUGUACACCUUUCUAUCACAUUUGGAUUAUGCCAUGAUAUAUGCUUAUCUUCUAAUCCAAAUAAAGAAUUUAAAUGUGUGUGUAUGAUCAUGUGUGUGUGUGUGUGUAUGUGUGUGUA
Molecule: long non-coding RNA, 216 nt
Organism: Alosa sapidissima (American shad)
Lineage: Eukaryota; Metazoa; Chordata; Actinopteri; Clupeiformes; Clupeidae
Exons: 3
Source: RefSeq, a predicted model, not a curated record